RNAcentral lists this ribosomal RNA (427 nucleotides) under Homoeoneuria sp. Ep6732a. RNAcentral describes it as "partial 16S ribosomal RNA". It matches the Rfam family "Bacterial large subunit ribosomal RNA", at positions 1959 to 2601 of the family's 2925-position model. Lineage: Eukaryota; Metazoa; Arthropoda; Insecta; Ephemeroptera; Oligoneuriidae. The record is from RNAcentral.
GCAUAAUCAUUAGUCUUUUAAUUGAAGGCUGGUAUGAAUGGCGGGAUGAAGUAUUAACUGUCUCCUUUUAAUUAAAUUUGAACUUAAUUUUUUAGUUAAAAAGCUAAAAUAAAGUUGAAAGACGAGAAGACCCUAUAGAUCUUUACAUGAAUUUUUAUUUUUAAAUUUAUUUAAUUAAAAUUAGAAAGUAAUGUUUUGUUGGGGUGACGGGAAGAUAAAUUUAACUCUUUUUUAUAAAAAAUAUGAAUGUAUAAAUUUAUGAUCCAUUAGUGAUGAUUGAAAGUCUAAGUUACCUUAGGGAUAACAGCGUAAUUCUUUUUGAGAGUUCUAAUCGACAAAGGAGUUUGCGACCUCGAUGUUGGACUAAGAAAAUUCCUAAGUGCAGAAGUUUGGGGGUUAAGUCUGUUCGACUUUUAAAUUCUUACAU